UUGAUUCAUUUAUUUUUUUUACUCAGAUGAUUUUACAAAAACAAGAGUUUAGGGGGCCACCGGCCGGUCUGCUCCCUAUUCCGAAAAAUAGGGGACCUCACGAGGGAAGCCAACCUGCGCCGAGGCAACAUUUUUUAGGUACUGUUCACAAAGGGUUUCUGGGUAGCACCCGUGAGGGCGUUUGUUCCAGCAAUGAUCCCUCCGCUGGUUCACCAACGGAGA
This 222-nucleotide unclassified non-coding RNA is filed under the name uncultured fungus. RNAcentral describes it as "sequence contains ITS1". Lineage: Eukaryota; Fungi. The record is from RNAcentral.